UAGUCCACGCCGUAAACGAUGGAUACUCGCUAUCGGCGAUACAAUGUCGGUGGCUAAGCGAAAGUGAUAAGUAUCCCACCUGGGGAGUACGAUCGCAAGGUUGAAACUCAAAGGAAUUGACGGGGGCCCGCACAAGCGGUGGAGCAUGUGGUUUAAUUCGAUGAUACGCGAGGAACCUUACCAGGGCUUAAAUGUAGUGGGACAGGUCUGGAAACAGAUCCUUCUUCGGACUCAUUACAAGGUGCUGCAUGGUUGUCGUCAGCUCGUGCCGUGAGGUGUCAGGUUAAGUCCUAUAACGAGCGCAACCCCUGUUGUUAGUUGCCAGCGAGUAAUGUCGGGAACUCUAACAAGACUGCCGGUGCAAACCGCGAGGAAGGUGGGGAUGACGUCAAAUCAUCACGGCCCUUACGUCCUGGGCUACACACGUGCUACAAUGGUCGGUACAGAGAGCAGCCACUGCGUGAGCAGGAGCGAAUCUAUAAAACCGAUCACAGUUCGGAUCGG
Molecule: ribosomal RNA, 504 nt
Filed under: uncultured bacterium
Lineage: Bacteria
Description: bacterial SSU rRNA
Rfam family: Bacterial small subunit ribosomal RNA
Source: RNAcentral